AAAUUGAUGCGUUCAGAGUGUACAGAUGUGGAUAUAGAAGGGUUAGUUAGUAAACAGUACGAAGCCCAUCUAAUAGAGAUUCCAUGAGAGGCAUUUUAUUGCAAGAUGUUGGCUGUUCGAGAUCAAGCGACUGUGUUCGAGCAGUGCAUUUUAAUGGCAAUACUCAUUAAAUGGGUUGCCUGUUUUUUCUUUACCAGCCCUUCUGCUAUCCACAACAGUACUAAUUUGUCCACAUCAAUUU
RNAcentral lists this microRNA precursor (241 nucleotides) under Picea abies (Norway spruce). RNAcentral's name for it is "miR946d stem-loop (pab-MIR946d)". Its record names the gene pab-MIR946d. Lineage: Eukaryota; Viridiplantae; Streptophyta; Pinopsida; Pinales; Pinaceae. The record is from miRBase by way of RNAcentral.